GACGAACGCUGGCGGCGUGCCUAAUACAUGCAAGUCGAGCGAAGUUUUUCUGGUGCUUGCCCUAGAAAAACUUAGCGGCGAACGGGUGAGUAACACGUAAAGAACCUGCCUCAUAGACUGGGACAACUAUUGGAAACGAUAGCUAAUACCGGAUAACAGCAUUAACUGCAUGGUUGAUGUUUAAAAGUUGGUUUUGCUAACACUAUGAGAUGGCUUUGCGGUGCAUUAGCUAGUUGGUGGGGUAAAGGCCUACCAAGGCGACGAUGCAUAGCCGACCUGAGAGGGUGAUCGGCCACACUGGGACUGAGACACGGCCCAGACUCCUACGGGAGGCAGCAGUAGGGAAUCUUCCGCAAUGGGCGAAAGCCUGACGGAGCAACGCCGCGUGAGUGAAGAAGGAUUUCGGUUCGUAAAGCUCUGUUGUUAGGGAAGAAUGAUUGUGUAGUAACUAUACACAGUAGAGACGGUACCUAAUCAGAAAGCCACGGCUAACUACGUG
RNAcentral lists this ribosomal RNA (499 nucleotides) under uncultured bacterium. RNAcentral's name for it is "partial 16S ribosomal RNA". It matches the Rfam family "Bacterial small subunit ribosomal RNA", at positions 28 to 507 of the family's 1533-position model. The record is from RNAcentral.